CGGUGGAGCAUGUGGUUUAAUUCGAAGCAACGCGAAGAACUUACCAGGCCUUGACAUGCAGAGAACUUUCCAGAGAUGGAUUGGUGCCUUCGGGAACUCUGACACAGGUGCUGCAUGGCUGUCGUCAGCUCGUGUCGUGGGAUGUUGGGUUAAGUCCCGUAACGAGCGCAACCCUUGUCCUUAGUUACCAGCACGUUAUGGUGGGCACUCUAAGGAGACUGCCGGUGCAACCGGAGGAAGUGGGGAUGACGUCAAGUCAUCAUGGCCCUUACGGCCUGGGCUACACACGUGCUACAAUGGUCGGUACAAAGGGUUGCCAAGCCGCGAGGUGGAGCUAAUCCCAUAAAACCGAUCGUAGUCCGGAUCGCAGUCUGCAACUCGACUGCGUGAAGUCGGAAUCGCUAGUAAUCGUGAAUCAGAAUGUCACGGUGAAUACGUUCCCGGGCCUU
RNAcentral lists this ribosomal RNA (449 nucleotides) under uncultured Pseudomonas sp. RNAcentral describes it as "bacterial SSU rRNA". It matches the Rfam family "Bacterial small subunit ribosomal RNA", at positions 930 to 1382 of the family's 1533-position model. The record is from RNAcentral. Lineage: Bacteria; Pseudomonadati; Pseudomonadota; Gammaproteobacteria; Pseudomonadales; Pseudomonadaceae.